AUGAUGAGACGGCGGCUCCGAUCCGUCCCACACGAGCCCCGGGUCGAACGGGGGCCAUGGUGGAGAGCGAUGCUGAACCUCCUCCCGACCACUCACUCCUCUGUGACCUCCCUUGGUUUCACGAAACACGACCAGGCGUUUUCCCUCAAAAUGACUCUUUCUCUCCCGCUCGGUGGCUGGGGAAGAAACAUCAAAAGACAUACCGCUGGAUCUUGUGGGAUGGAGUCCUUCUGUCACGUUACUCCACACAAGAACAGAGAACAGCUGGAUUCCUCUGCAUCUCUCUGUUGUGUGGAUGAGCAGCGGUUGGCUGGAUACUGGAGCGCCUGCAAAACCAUCAACAAAGCUUUAGACCCCAGCAAAAGACAGCAGCACACCAUGAGGAACCACGAUUAUGGGGCCGGCAACAACUCUCACUAACAUUAAAUAGUGCUUUACUUAUUGAUUAAAAAACCUUUACAAUUGCAAGACCAAUGUUAAAAUAGCUUAGAGCCUUCCACAAAAACUUCCCACAGAUUUGUAGUAUAUUGCAUUUUUAGUAAGUCUCAUGAUGAUUUACUAAUUUAGUCUAAGUAAGCAGUUUUAACUUAUGUAUCAAGUCAUGUGGUAAUCAUACCUUCUUAUUCAAUAAGAGUGUCUUUUAUUUUAUAGUACUUUUCACAAAACACAUAGUUUUAAAGCAGCUUUACAGAAAUAAAUAACAGGGUAAAGGUCCAUUAAAGGGAUGUAAAGUCGUUGUCAGAAUACUUCAUCUGUCAUCAGAAUUCAAUGAUGAACUGUCUUUAACUAUCAUUUUGCAUUAUUAAGACACUGUUUUCCAAAUGAAUGUUGUUCAGUGCUUUGACGCAAUGUAUUUUGUUUAAAGUGCUAUAUAAAUAAAGGUGACUUGACUUGACUUCAGCAGUGUGGCUAAUUCUUGAAGCAAAGUUUUGUCAGAACGAUGGAUUAACACAGCUCACUUAAGUGUCUUUGCAAUGAAUGGAAGAAGGGUCUGUAGUUUUCUAGAAAGACUGGAUUUAGAGAUGGUUUCUUCAGCAGUGGGCUUACUCGAGCCUGCUUAAGCUGAGGGAAAUGUUCCAGAGUGAAGAGAGGAGUUGAUAAUUUGAGUAAGUGAAGGUAUGUCUGAAGGAGAGAUCACUUGUAGGAGGUGAGUGGGGAUCGGAUCUAUUGGACAAGUAGUAGGAUGAUUGGACAGGAUAAGUUUGGAAACAUCCAUCUCUGAGAGUGAAGAGGAGGAGGAGAGAGUGUGCAUUAGUCAUUGUGAAGUUAUCCUCAGUUUGCAGUGUGGAGAAUUGGCCACUGAUGGUUCUUGUCUUAUUUGUGAAGAAAACUGCAAAGUCGUCAGCUGUAAAAGUCGAUGGAGGAGGAGGUGGAGGCAGAUUAAGAAGAGAAGAGAAAGUUUUGUAGAGUGUCCAAACUUCACAAAAGUUGUUAAUUUUUUUGUGGUAGCAUUUUAGCAGUGAAGACAUUAGCAGAGAAGAGAGGAGAGGCUGGUACACACUGAGGUCGGUAGAGUUUCUUGAUUUAUACCAUUUCCUCUCUGCAACUCUGAGUUUGGAGCGAUGUUCACUGAGAACCUCGGACAGCCAGGGGGCAGAUGGGGUGGUGCGUGCUGGUUUAGACGUCAGUGGGCAAAAGUUGUCCAAGCAAGAAGUUAGAGUGGAGAAAAGACUGUCCGUAGCAAUGUUCGUGUCCAGAGCUGAAAACUGAGAGAGUGAAGGAAGUGACGAUGAAACCACAGAGGAUAGGCGAGAUGGAGAGAGUGACCGAGAUGGAGAGACUGCACUGGAGUUUGUGCCGCUUCAGGAGUAAGUGCUUGGUUAGUAAUGAGGAAGUGGUCUGAGGUGUGCAGUGGAGCAAUCUUUUUGAAGAUUCUAAUUUCAUUUUCCAGCAGGAUUUGGCUCCUGCCCACACUGCCAAAAGCACCAAAAGUUGGUUAAAUGGCCAUGGUGUUGGUGUGCUUGACUGGCCAGCAAACUCACCAGACCUGAACCCCACAGAGAAUACUUGGGGUAUUGUAAAGAGGAAAAUGAGAAACAAGAGACCAAAAAAUGCAGAUGAGCUGAAGGCCACUGUCAAAGAAACCUCCGAAUUGAGGCAGUAAUUAAAGCAAAAGGAGCCCCUACCCAGUAUUAAGUACAUGUAUAGUGAUGAACAGAAUUAACAUACUUUUUUUUAUUCAUUUUUUUAUUGGUCUUAUAAAGUAUUCUAAUUUGUUUUCGUUAAAUGUGAGCCAAAAUAAUCACAAUUAAAAGAACCAAAGACUUAAACUACUUCAGUCUGUGUGCAUAGAAUUUAUUUAUAUACGAAUUUUCACAACUUGAGUUGAAUUACUGACAUAAAUUAACUUUUCCACGACAUUCUAAUUUAUUGAGAAGCCCCUGUAAAUCGCUUUAUGACUGUGUAUUUAUGCUUGUUUAUUUUUGUUGUAGUUGUAAGCUGGGUUAAUUAAUUUUUGAUUUGGUAUGGAGGCCUAAUUACGAUUAAGUGAUGUGUUUAUCACAGCCAUGGUUUAGAAAGGCAUAUAAAUAUCAUGGUUUUAAGAUUUUAGUCCCAGCCCUAAGCAGUUCAACCUAAUAUUACAUUUUAAUUCAUGCUAGAAUACUUAAAGUUUUGUUUUCAUCAAAAUAUUUAACUAUUUACAAGAGACUGGUAUUGAACAUUCAAAAUGAAAGUCUUCAUAAAAUGUAAGCCAAUAGCUUUACUCUGAAAAUACAUUUUAAUUCCUAAAUGUUUUGACAUUUAAAGAAUUAAAAAAUCUUGGCCUAGUCUGUCAGAUGCAUAUUUCAGAGAUGAGUUCAUAGAGAUGCAUUGUUUUUAAAUAUUUUUAAACAAAGCCUAUUUUUAUUAUUUUGUUUCAAGUAAAAUAUUUUAACAGAAUAUAAAAUAAUUUCUAAAAUAAUUAUAACAGAUUUUCAUGGUUCAAAUACUAAACUCAAGUUUAAUGUUCUCUUAUUUUUUCUUCUUUUGUUCUUUCAAUGACCGACGAGUAUUCUGCAGCCAUGCACUAUUACCUUCAGGCGGGGACCGUGUGCUCCGAUUACUUCACUAAACUAGUUCCUCUUGACGUCUACACCAACCAGGUGCUGGAAAUCUGCAGAACCUUAUGCACAAAUAAAGCAAAUGCUUUUAUUUCUAAUUUUGUCCUGUUAGUGUC
Long non-coding RNA from Carassius auratus (goldfish), 3157 nucleotides. The record is from Ensembl. Lineage: Eukaryota; Metazoa; Chordata; Actinopteri; Cypriniformes; Cyprinidae.